CUCCCCCCGCGCUCCCUCCUCCGGGCCAGGCGAGAAGUUGCAACUGGUUGAGAUAUUUGUGCUCGGGGUUUGGGUUUGUUUUUAUUUUUAUUCUUUUUUUUUUUUUUCCUUUUACUCACCGCAACUCAAAAAAACAUAACCUGAGGCUGCUCCUCACCAUCAGAUCUGAGCAGGGGCGCCCCAGCACAACUAAGCAUAACAAAUCCGAACGAGCUGCAGCAAGAGACAGGGGGAGGGAGGAAGGGAAGGAAGGAGGGGAGGCGGUGGGCAACGGGCAGCUCCGCUGUGCGGGUCCUCAGGGGCUCCCGGCCUGUGCCCCGGGCUCUGGAGGCGGAGAAGUCGCCGCCGAAACCGGGGAGCAGCAGAUAUAGGAGGCGAAGGAGAGCCGGCUGCUAGCGGCUGCCCCGGGGCGGAAGAGACACAGGAGCGCCCACGGUGCGCGCCCGCCGACUCCCCGCAACCCCUUAUACGCCAUCCCGCAGCCGGCGAGACAACCCCCAGUGUCCCAGCUCCGAGCCCCCGGGGUCUGGCGAGGAGCCGCGUAGGCAACGGGAGCCGCGCAUCACCAGCCCCGUCCCCGCCGCGCUGCGCGGGUGAGCGCCCGGGCACUGCGCGGCUCGGAGAUUGCGGUGUUGACACUCUCGCGGCCACGUAACAGCCUCUGGCGAGUCCCUCUCCGCCCCCACCAGUCCCCUCCCUCCCCCCACAACACGAUCGACGUGUCAGCCCCGAAAGUUCAUUUCCAGGCCCUGGGAGAGUUCCCUAUAAAGGUCCCGCUGCGUGCGUGGGACAGUGAGACGUGGCACUGCGGGGCUGCAGCCGAGCCGCGCAGGCAUCUCCCCCAGCCAAUUCCCCGAAUUGAUACUUUCAAAACGAAGAGGAAGACAGGAGUGAGAAUGAAGAAUGCCUUGGAGAAAUCCGGUUGUAAAGUUUGAGGAGCAGAAAAAAUAGGAAAUAUUAAUAACUCUGGUCUCUUAAAUAGGUCAGAAUUUAGACUGAAAUAAUAAAAAGUUACAACCCUAAGACAUAAGUACUAUUAAAUUUGAAUCUAGAUUCACAGAUUUUUAAAUUAAUACGUAAAAAAAUAUUUGCUUUUUUUCCCCCCUCUACUUUGGAUGGUAAUAUAUUUUUCUGCCUUAAAAAACUCUCUUGUAUAGACUACUGUAAGUUUUUAUUUUUUGGAUAUUAGCCCUAAGACAUCCAUUAGUUGCUCCUCUCUGUUUGAGCGUCCAUAAUCGUUAAUAUUGAAUUCCUGUGUUACUACAUCACCCAGCAGUACAAGGGGAAUUUGAAUAGAGAGUGCAUAUAUAUAUAUGACCUUGUCACUGCCAAGUGGUCUAAAGCACAGGAUAUACAGCUCAUCUAGACUUCAGGUUUUUGUGCUGGCCUUUUUGAGGAUGCAUGGGUAGAGAAGAUAUUUGGCGUUAACUCCUGUUUUCAUUGAAUUAGACUACCACAAUUUUUAGAAGGAAUUUUAACCAAAUGUGAAGUUCUCAUAACUUAGACAUUUCUGUGUCACUGAUCUAGCAUUAGGAGCCCUAAAACAAGUUUACCUAGUAACAGUGGAGUUGUCCAUGCACAAGAAUUUCGUGGUAAAUUCUCCAAGUAGGCCAAUAUCUAAGUCAUUGUUAAAAAGUGAUUUAUGUAAACUGGAGAAAAGCAACAUAUGAACAUUCUUGUUUUGCUUUAAACAUAUCUUAAAUGCACAAAAAAAUGCACAUAAAUUAAGUUGGAAUUAACAAAAAAAGAUUAAUCAGAAGUGGGUUUACCUAUAAAGAGUUUGAUUGUCUAAUGGGAGUUCAUUUAUCACUUCAGUUAAGAGCAAACAGCAUAUUUAUGUGACCAAAAUCUCACAUGCCCUCUGCCCUUUCUAAGACUCAUAGGGAACACAAUAAGCUAGAUGUACUUACCAAGGGGGUUUAUGUAGGAAGUAAGAGAGUCAGCAACUUAAUACGGUGCAUGCCAUAUUGCAAUGAUCCAUUUUUCCAGCCUUACACUUCCUAUCAGAUCAUUUGAUAGCAGCAAUAAAAGUUACAAGUUCUGUUCAAUUGAUGUUUUCCUCAGUUGCUCGUACACUGUAUUCAGUGGCUUGUUAGGAAAAAAAAUAGAUGGUGUUGUUUACAGCCAGUCUUUAUAAUCUGGAAUUGUUAAAAAACAAAAUGCCUAACAACUUGGAGGUGGCUACAGAAGCAAGGACAAAAGAGAAAAUAAAUUAAAAAUAAUAUGUGUUUAUUACUGAGAAAUAAAACCAAAUAAACCCCCCCAA
Molecule: long non-coding RNA, 2266 nt
Organism: Pseudopipra pipra
Lineage: Eukaryota; Metazoa; Chordata; Aves; Passeriformes; Pipridae
Exons: 2
Source: RefSeq, a predicted model, not a curated record